CGUGGUUCCCGCCCGGGCCCGCCGCAGCCGGCUCUGAGGAAGCGGCUCUGAGGAAGCAGCGCACCGCCAGCCUCGUCCUCGCGCCGGCGACCCUGGGGCGGGUCACCUCGCCGGGUCGAGGCCUCCCGGGCAGGCCUGGCGGAGGGAGGAGCGAGGCCUGCCUGCGGGAGACCCGGGGAGGCGCGUCAUGUGCAAAAGGACACUGUGAUGGAGUUUAUUACACAUAACAGCAAAUUCCAAAGCAGGAGUGGCAGCAGAAAACAAUGAAGGCAAAGGAAGUAAGCCCGGGAAGAGAAAGCAGUUUUUGGACAACAGUUCCUUCACCUCAGCAUUUUUCAUGGAUU
RNAcentral lists this long non-coding RNA (344 nucleotides) under Homo sapiens (human). Its description in RNAcentral is "non-protein coding lnc-MEGF10-1:1". The record is from RNAcentral. Lineage: Eukaryota; Metazoa; Chordata; Mammalia; Primates; Hominidae.